This 253-nucleotide ribosomal RNA is filed under the name Dorea formicigenerans. RNAcentral's name for it is "partial 16S ribosomal RNA". It matches the Rfam family "Bacterial small subunit ribosomal RNA", at positions 524 to 776 of the family's 1533-position model. Lineage: Bacteria; Bacillati; Bacillota; Clostridia; Lachnospirales; Lachnospiraceae. The record is from RNAcentral.
UACGUAGGGGGCAAGCGUUAUCCGGAUUUACUGGGUGUAAAGGGAGCGUAGACGGCUGUGCAAGUCUGAAGUGAAAGGCAUGGGCUCAACCUGUGGACUGCUUUGGGAACUGUGCAGCUAGAGUGUCGGAGAGGUAAGUGGAAUUCCUAGUGUAGCGGUGAAAUGCGUAGAUAUUAGGAGGAACACCAGUGGCGAAGGCGGCUUACUGGACGAUGACUGACGUUGAGGCUCGAAAGCGUGGGGAGCAAACAGG